This 77-nucleotide transfer RNA is filed under the name Pseudovibrio japonicus. RNAcentral's name for it is "tRNA-Met". It matches the Rfam family "tRNA". From Rfam's summary of the family: Transfer RNA (tRNA) molecules are approximately 80 nucleotides in length. Lineage: Bacteria; Pseudomonadati; Pseudomonadota; Alphaproteobacteria; Hyphomicrobiales; Stappiaceae. The record is from RNAcentral.
UGCAGGGUAGAGCAGUCCGGUAGCUCGCUAGGCUCAUAUCCUAGAGGCCGGUGGUUCAAAUCCACCCCCUGCAACCA